This 506-nucleotide ribosomal RNA is filed under the name uncultured bacterium. Its description in RNAcentral is "partial 16S ribosomal RNA". It matches the Rfam family "Bacterial small subunit ribosomal RNA", at positions 30 to 523 of the family's 1533-position model. The record is from RNAcentral.
AUUGAACGCUGGCGGCAUGCCUUACACAUGCAAGUCGAACGGCAGCAUGGAAGAGCUUGCUCUUCUGAUGGCGAGUGGCGAACGGGUGAGUAAAGCAUCGGAACGUACCGUGUAAAGGGGGAUAACGUAGCGAAAGUUACGCUAAUACCGCAUACGACCUGAGGGUGAAAGCAGGGGAUCGCAAGACCUUGCGUUAUACGAGCGGCCGAUGUCAGAUUAGCUAGUUGGUAGGGUAAAGGCCUACCAAGGCGACGAUCUGUAGCGGGUCUGAGAGGAGGAUCCGCCACACUGGGACUGAGACACGGCCCAGACUCCUACGGGAGGCAGCAGUGGGGAAUUUUGGACAAUGGGGGAGACCCUGAUCCAGCCAUGCCGCGUGAGUGAAGAAGGCCUUCGGGUUGUAAAGCUCUUUCGGCCGGGAAGAAAUCGCACAGGCUAAUACUCUGUGUGGAUGACGGUACCGGCAUAAGAAGCACCGGCUAACUACGUGCCAGCCGCCGCAGUAA